UCGUAACAAGGUCUCCGUAGGUGAACCUGCGGAGGGAUCAUUACACAAAUUAAAAUAUGAAGGCUUCGGCUGGAUUAUUUUUAUCACCCUUGUCUUUUGCGCACUUGUUGUUUCCUGGGCGGGUUCGCCCGCCACCAGGACCACACCAUAAACCUUUUUUAUGCAGUUGCAAUCAGCGUCAGUAUAACAAAUGUAAAUCAUUUACAACUUUCAACAACGGAUCUCUUGGUUCUGGCAUCGAUGAAGAACGCAGCGAAAUGCGAUACGUAGUGUGAAUUGCAGAAUUCAGUGAAUCAUCGAAUCUUUGAACGCACAUUGCGCCCUUUGGUAUUCCAAAGGGCAUGCCUGUUCGAGCGUCAUUUGUACCCUCAAGCUUUGCUUGGUGUUGGGCGUCUUUUGUCUUUGGCCUCGCCCAAAGACUCGCCUUAAAACGAUUGGCAGCCGGCCUACUGGUUUCGCAGCGCAGCACAUUUUUGCGCUUGCAAUCAGCAAAAAGGACGGCAAUCCAUCAAGACUACAUUUUUACGUUUGACCUCGGAUCAGGUAGGGAUACCCGCUGAACUUAAGCAUAUCAAUAA
RNAcentral lists this unclassified non-coding RNA (578 nucleotides) under Curvularia brachyspora. Its description in RNAcentral is "sequence contains 18S rRNA gene, ITS1, 5.8S rRNA gene, ITS2, 28S rRNA gene". The stretch from base 206 to 359 matches the Rfam family "5.8S ribosomal RNA". RNAcentral also lists the same sequence under 1 other name. The record is from RNAcentral. Lineage: Eukaryota; Fungi; Ascomycota; Dothideomycetes; Pleosporales; Pleosporaceae.